RNAcentral lists this ribosomal RNA (219 nucleotides) under Salmonella enterica subsp. enterica serovar Nchanga str. CFSAN001091. RNAcentral's name for it is "partial 23S ribosomal RNA". It matches the Rfam family "Bacterial large subunit ribosomal RNA", at positions 2714 to 2925 of the family's 2925-position model. The record is from RNAcentral. Lineage: Bacteria; Pseudomonadati; Pseudomonadota; Gammaproteobacteria; Enterobacterales; Enterobacteriaceae.
GUUCGGGUUGUCAUGCCAAUGGCACUGCCCGGUAGCUAAAUGCGGAAGAGAUAAGUGCUGAAAGCAUCUAAGCACGAAACUUGCCCCGAGAUGAGUUCUCCCUGAGACUUUAAGUCUCCUGAAGGAACGUUGAAGACGACGACGUUGAUAGGCCGGGUGUGUAAGCGCAGCGAUGCGUUGAGCUAACCGGUACUAAUGAACCGUGAGGCUUAACCUUAC